AACGCGUAGGUAAUCUAUCCUUACAUUUGGGAUAACAUCGGGAAACUGGUGCUAAUACCGAAUGGUCUUCAUUGCUUUGGGGCGAUGGAGUAAAGGUGGCCUCUUCAUGAAAGCUACCGUGUAGGGAUGAGCCUGCGUACCAUUAGCUAGUAGGUGGGGUAAUGGCCCACCUAGGCUACGAUGGUUAGCGGGUCUGAGAGGAUGAUCCGCCAUACUGGAACUGAAACACGGACCAG
This 236-nucleotide ribosomal RNA is filed under the name uncultured bacterium. Its description in RNAcentral is "partial 16S ribosomal RNA". It matches the Rfam family "Bacterial small subunit ribosomal RNA", at positions 112 to 334 of the family's 1533-position model. The record is from RNAcentral.